GUGGUUNAUUCGAUGAUACGCGAGGAACCUUACCCGGGCUUGAACUGCCGGCGAACGAUACAGAGAUGUUGAGGCCCUUCGGGGCGCCGGUGGAGGUGCUGCAUGGUUGUCGUCAGCUCGUGCCGUGAGGUGUCGGCUUAAGUGCCAUAACGAGCGCAACCCUUUUCGUCAGUUGCCAUCAGGUGAUGCUGGGCACUCUGGCGACACUGCCACCGUAAGGUGUGAGGAAGGUGGGGAUGACGUCAAAUCAGCACGGCCCUUACGUCCGGGGCUACACACGUGUUACAAUGGGGCAUACAGAAGGCCGGUGCAUGGCAAUGUGCAUCCAAUCUUAAAAGUGCUCCUCAGCUCGGAUUGGGGUCUGCAACCCGACCCCAUGAAGCUGGAUUCGCUAGUAAUCGCGCAUCAGCCAUGGCGCGGUGAAUACGUUCCCGGGCCUUGUACACACCGCCCGUC
RNAcentral lists this ribosomal RNA (456 nucleotides) under uncultured bacterium. RNAcentral's name for it is "bacterial SSU rRNA". It matches the Rfam family "Bacterial small subunit ribosomal RNA", at positions 941 to 1398 of the family's 1533-position model. The record is from RNAcentral.